RNAcentral lists this ribosomal RNA (514 nucleotides) under Trigonopterus sp. 606 MB-2015. Its description in RNAcentral is "SSU rRNA". It matches the Rfam family "Eukaryotic small subunit ribosomal RNA", at positions 77 to 568 of the family's 1831-position model. The record is from RNAcentral. Lineage: Eukaryota; Metazoa; Arthropoda; Insecta; Coleoptera; Curculionidae.
UAAGGUGAAACCGCGAAAGGCUCAUUAAAUCAGUUAUGGUUCCUUAGAUCGUACCCACAAUUACUUGGAUAACUGUGGUAAUUCUAGAGCUAAUACAUGCAAACAGAGCUCCGACCGGAGACGGAAGGAGUGCUUUUAUUAGAUCAAAACCAAUCGGUGGCGGGUUCGCCCGUUAUCGUAUAACUUGGUGACUCUGAAUAACUUUACGCUGAUCGCACGGUCAUCGCACCGGCGACGCAUCUUUCAAAUGUCUGCCUUAUCAACUGUCGAUGGUAGGUUCUGCGCCUACCAUGGUUGUAACGGGUAACGGGGAAUCAGGGUUCGAUUCCGGAGAGGGAGCCUGAGAAACGGCUACCACAUCCAAGGAAGGCAGCAGGCGCGCAAAUUACCCACUCCCGGCACGGGGAGGUAGUGACGAAAAAUAACGAUACGGGACUCAUCCGAGGCCCCGUAAUCGGAAUGAGUACACUCUAAACCCUUUAACGAGGAUCAAUUGGAGGGCAAGUCUGGUGCC